AAUUAGUGGAGUAUGCAUACCAAAUAUGAAGUCUCUAUCUCUCACGGUUUUAAAGUUACGGCGAAAGUUCGAAAAAAGCUAUUUUUAGCAUAUAGGUCACAGUCAAGGUCACUGACCUUGGUGUCAGUUGAAAGUGCCUAAUUAGUGGAGUAUGCAUACCAAAUAUGAAGUCUCUCUCUCUCACCGUUCAGAAGUUAUGGCGAAAGUUCCAAAAAGAUAUUUUUAGCAUAAAGGUCACAGUCAUGGUCACAAGGUCAUUGACCUUGGUGUCAGUUGAAAGUGCCUAAUUAGUGGAGUAUGCAUACCAAAUAUGAAGUCUCUAUCUCUCACGGUUCAGAAGUUAUGGCGAAAGUUCGAAAAAGCUAUUUUUAGCAUAAAGGUCACAAUCAAGGUCAUAAGGUCAUUGACCUUGGUGUCAGUUGAAAGUGUCUUUGUAGUGGAGUAUCCAUACCAAAUAUGAAGUCUCUAAGUCUCACGGUUCAAAAGUUAUGGCGAAGGUUAAAGUUGACAACAGACAAACAAACAGACAGACAUACAGCUAAACAGACAGACAGGACAAAAACAAUAUGCGCCCCAAAAAAUUUGGGUGCAUAAAAACUGUCUUGGAGUUAACAGCAGUUCUCUGUUUCUCCUGAAUGUUAUGUACAAUUUGAUCGGGAUCGGAAGAAUGUUUCAAAAAGUCGGGCUCAGUGAUCAAUUAAUUUAAACAACAGACCGCCAAAAUUUAACCUUGGCCUCCAUGUUGCAACGUCUGCUCUGUCUAAAGGAAGAAGUUUGUUGACCAGAUAGCCUGAGAUCGUAUUGCUGUAUCAACCAAAAGAUGCAGAUACACGUAUUUCAUAUGCGCGUCUGUGCAUGAGGAGGAGAUUUUCUGAAAAAGAAUAAGUGCUUAUUCAACUUACUGCGAUUUUAACGGGCUUAAAGCUUGGUCCAUGGAUGGUUAUGUUUGAGGAUUUGCCAAUUCGACCGCAAGUGCUGCUGCAAGAAAUUAAACAUGCAGAGACCUUACAAAUUACAAAGAAGUCUGAAGAAAAUUUUUAUUGGACAGAUGGGUGUAAAGCACAGGCCUGAGAUAUAAAUUGAAUUGUGAGAAAUAUGAAUCAGGGAUGCAGGUAGAAAAUGGCAAAUGUGAUCCAGAUUGAUAAAAAGUGUCUAAAAUUUUUUCUUGUUUUGUAAAUAUUCAAUGCUAUGUCAAUUGUUAUUUUUUCCCCAAUACCUAAUAGUGUUGAACAUUUCACUCCCACUUUUGCUUAAAUAGAAUGAAUAAAUUUCCAUUUAUUUAAUAUGAAUAUUAAAAAAUGCCACAUUUUUUCCAUGAUGAACUUGUGGCUUAAAUAAGAGUUCGUUUUUUUUCCAUACAUGCUCCUAUUUGUUUGUCAAAGAUAUAAGAUCCAAUACAUUGCUCAUGAACAUAAUGUGUAAUUUUGUUC
Molecule: long non-coding RNA, 1430 nt
Organism: Saccostrea cuccullata (small rock oyster)
Lineage: Eukaryota; Metazoa; Mollusca; Bivalvia; Ostreida; Ostreidae
Exons: 3
Source: RefSeq, a predicted model, not a curated record